RNAcentral lists this ribosomal RNA (1260 nucleotides) under Eubostrichus dianae epibacterium 1_60. RNAcentral describes it as "partial 16S ribosomal RNA". It matches the Rfam family "Bacterial small subunit ribosomal RNA". The record is from RNAcentral. Lineage: Bacteria; Pseudomonadati; Bacteroidota.
AGAGUUUGAUCAUGGCUCAGGAUGAACGCUAGCGGCAGGCUUAACACAUGCAAGUCGAACGGUAAGGAUCACUUCGGUGGUUACACGAGUGGCGCACGGGUGCGUAACGCGUAUGCAACCUACCUUUAACAUGAGGAUAGCUCUGAGAAAUCGGGUUAAUACUCAAUAUCAUUCUCAUGAAGCAUUUCAUGAGGAUAAAAGUUCCGGCGGUUAGAGAUGGGCAUGCGUGACAUUAGCUAGUUGGUAUGGUAACGGCAUACCAAGGCGACGAUGUCUAGGGGUUCUGAGAGGAUUAUCCCCCACACUGGUACUGAGACACGGACCAGACUCCUACGGGAGGCAGCAGUGAGGAAUAUUGGUCAAUGGACGCAAGUCUGAACCAGCCAUGCCGCGUGCAGGAUUGACAGCCUAUGGGUUUUAAACUGCUUUUACAUGGGAAGAAACGCCUUUAUUUAUAGAGGUUUGACGUAACCAUGAGAAUAAGCACCGGCUAACUCCGUGCCAGCAGCCGCGGUAAUACGGAGGGUGCAAGCGUUAUCCGGAUUUAUUGGGUUUAAAGGGUGCGUAGGCGGGUAAAUAAGUCAGUGGUGAAAUCUUGCGGCUUAACCGUAAAACUGCCAUUGAUACUGUUUAUCUUGAGUACAUUUGAAGUAGGCGGAAUAUAGUAUGUAGCGGUGAAAUGCAUAGAUAUACUAUAGAACACCGAUUGCGAAGGCNNCUUACUAAACUGUAACUGACGCUGAUGCACGAAAGCGUGGGUAGCGAACAGGAUUAGAUACCCUGGUAGUCCACGCAGUAAACGAUGAUUACUCGAUGUUGGUAAUACACAUUCAGCAUCUGAAGGUGCUGCAUGGUUGUCGUCAGCUCGUGCCGUGAGGUGUCGGGUUAAGUCCCAUAACGAGCGCAACCCUUAUUCUUAGUUGCCAUCAGGUAAAGCUGGGGACUCUAGAAAACUGCCGGCGUAAGCCGUGAGNAAGGUGGGGAUGACGUCAAAUCAGCACGGCCCUUAUGUCCAGGGCUACACACGCGCUACAAUGGUCGAUACAAAGGGCAGCUACACAGCGAUGUGAUGCAAAUCUCAAAUUCGAUCUUAGUUCGGAUCGAAGUCUGCAAUUCGACUUCGUGAAGUUGGAUUCGCUAGUAAUCGCGCAUCGGCAAUGGCGCGGUGAAUAUGUUCCCGGGCCUUGUACACACCGCCCGUCAAGCCAUGGAAGCUGAGGGUACCUAAAGUUUGUGAUUUGCUAUUUAGCGGAAGCGACC